UGUCCCAGUAGCUCAGCCGGAUAGAGCAACGGCCUUCUAAGCCGUCGGUCGGGAGUUCGAAUCUCUCCUGGGACGU
RNAcentral lists this transfer RNA (76 nucleotides) under Bacillus amyloliquefaciens. RNAcentral's name for it is "tRNA-Arg". It matches the Rfam family "tRNA". Rfam says of the family: Transfer RNA (tRNA) molecules are approximately 80 nucleotides in length. Their secondary structure includes four short double-helical elements and three loops (D, anti-codon, and T loops). The record is from RNAcentral. RNAcentral also lists the same sequence under 4 other names. Lineage: Bacteria; Bacillati; Bacillota; Bacilli; Caryophanales; Bacillaceae.